RNAcentral lists this long non-coding RNA (255 nucleotides) under Capsicum annuum. Its description in RNAcentral is "long non-coding RNA (CANN_LNC010051)". Lineage: Eukaryota; Viridiplantae; Streptophyta; Magnoliopsida; Solanales; Solanaceae. The record is from RNAcentral.
CUAACUUAUUUUGAGUUCUCGGGACAUGUUUAAAUUCAACGUUGAUGAACUUCUUGUGCAACUCUUUCACACACUCCAAAUAUGGAAGCAGCUUCACGUUUUUGACACUCCAUUUGCCUUGUACGAUGAAUCACCAAAUCUGAAUCUCUUAUAACUAACAGUUCCUGUAUAUUCAUAUCAGCAGCCACUUUAAGACCAAGAAUGCAAGCCUUGUACUCUACCAUAUUGUUAGUGCAUGGAAAUUGAGCUUUGCUG